AUACGUAGGUGACAAGCGUUAUCCGGAUUUACUGGGCGUAAAGGGCGUGUAGGCGGUCUUGCAAGUCAGAAGUGAAAUUCCUGAGCUCAACUCGGGCGCUGCUUCUGAAACUGCAGGACUUGAGUGCUGGAGGGGAUAGCGGAAUUCCUAGUGGAGCGGUAAAAUGCGCAGAUAUUAGGAAGAACACCGGUGGCGAAGGCGGCUAUCUGGACAGUAACUGACGCUGAGGCGCGAAAGCGUGGGGAGCAAACAGGAUUAGAUACCCUGGUGGUCCACGCCGUAAACGAUGAAUACUAGGUGUAGGGGGUAUCGACUCCCUCUGUGCCGCAGUUAACACAAUAAGUAUUCCGCCUGGGGAGUACGGCCGCAAGGUUGAAACUCAAAUGAAUUGACGGGG
This 397-nucleotide ribosomal RNA is filed under the name uncultured bacterium. RNAcentral's name for it is "partial 16S ribosomal RNA". It matches the Rfam family "Bacterial small subunit ribosomal RNA", at positions 523 to 918 of the family's 1533-position model. The record is from RNAcentral.